This 148-nucleotide non-coding RNA is filed under the name Salmo salar (Atlantic salmon). RNAcentral's name for it is "Eukaryotic large subunit ribosomal RNA". It matches the Rfam family "Eukaryotic large subunit ribosomal RNA", at positions 2840 to 2984 of the family's 3401-position model. Lineage: Eukaryota; Metazoa; Chordata; Actinopteri; Salmoniformes; Salmonidae. The record is from Rfam by way of RNAcentral.
GCUCUUAUUCUCCAUGGACUUUACAGUGUUUUUUGAUCCUUCGAUGUCGGCUCUUCCUAUCAUUGUGAAGCAGAAUUCACCAAGCGUUGGAUUGUUCACCCACUAAUAGGGAACGUGAGCUGGGUUUUAGACCGUCGUGAGACAGGUU